UUGCUACUGUAUUUCCACUGACCCGUACUGUUGUUUAGCUCUUCCUGAUCCGGUGAGUACUCCUCGCCUUCUUCGGCUUGCGGUACCCACUGGAAGGGGAGACAUGUUUACAUGUUCUCACCUCCCCCACCAUUUUUUCAGGUAUCGCGGACGGUGAGGGUUGAGACGAGACGUGAGACACGUACGUAGCGGUCGAUAGAUCUUCCGACCCAGGUUAUUCGGUGUAGUUCCUACCCUUACUAUUCUGUUGUUAUAGCUUAGAUAGUUUAUAUGGUUCAGUAUUUUUAUUACAUUUGAAAAUAUGGGUUUUCAUGAAUGUAAUAAACUGGUUUGUGAAUUUUGUAAAAUAAAAAUAGUUUUCUACCGCUCGUGGUAGCGUUUUUAAAAAGAUAAAAGUUUCUGUGUAGGGAACAGUUUUCAAAAGAUUUUCUGUGGAUUUUGUAUCUUAGUAUUUCAAAACCUGUUUCUGUGGUUAGAAACAUUUUAACUGAUAGAUGUGGAUUUAUGUUUAAAUAUUGAAUGUAUAAAUGUGAAACUGUGGUGAAUGGUGUAUGAAUGUAUAACUGUUGGUUAUUUGUAUGUUCAUCUGGUUGCGGUUGUAUCAUGUUUGAACUAUUGUACUUGUGCGACGCCGUGCAAAUACAGGGGAGACUCUGUC
This 658-nucleotide long non-coding RNA is filed under the name Ananas comosus (pineapple). RNAcentral's name for it is "long non-coding RNA (ACOM_LNC034779)". Lineage: Eukaryota; Viridiplantae; Streptophyta; Magnoliopsida; Poales; Bromeliaceae. The record is from RNAcentral.